CAAACAAUACGGAAUUUUGUCUACUAGCAUAACACUUGAGAACAAGAGCUGGGCUAAGCAUAGGAAGCAAUCACUAGUUAAUUCAUAUUUAAAUAAAUUUUUUGAAGUAUGUUUGAACAAUGAGCCAAAAUUUGAGAAAUAUUAGCCACUUUUCUUCAUGAAUAUGGGCAGAGGUCUUCCUUUUUCCAAUGGUUCACCCCCCCAGUGGCCGCUGCAGCCGGCACACCACACCAAUCCGAAGCCAGGAGCCAGGAGCUUCCUCCUGGUCUCCCAUGCUGGUGCAGUGCCCAAGGACCUGGGCCAUCCUCCACUGCACUCCCGGGCUACAGCAGAGAGCUGGACUGGAAGAGGAGCAACCGGGACAGAAUCCGGCUGGUUUUCUGCUGCUUUCUUGUUCUCAAUGUGGCAAAUAAAUUGAUUCUACAGAUCAUCUUAAUUUCAGGCAGAUCAUUUAUACAACAGUGAAGACAUUAACCUACUUUACUGGCUGGUUGUGAAGAACAGCUGAUAUUCUUGACUGACAAACACUCACUGAUAAAAAUUGCUAAGGAAAUCCUUGAUAAUUUACAGAUUGUAGACCCAACCCUACACUCAGUGUUGUCCUGUACUGAAUGAUUAAAUUGGGUUCAGUCUAAAUUUCAAAUAUAUAUACACACAUACAUAUUAUAUAGUUUGCAUAUAUAUAUAUUUAUAUAUACCUUUGAAAUCACUAGAAAUUUGACUUGAUACAUGAUUCUUAAAUUGUGAAUAAGUAAUCUGGGACUAAUAAAUGCAGGCUUUGUAGAUAGGUCAUUACCAAAAACAGUUUUGCAUCUUUACUGGGGAAAGAGUUACCCCAGUCACUAGAUUCAGACAAUUCUUUGUAUUUGUUCUGUAGAAACUCUUACUUUGUCUUCUAAGGUAAGCACACAACUACUCUCCCACCUCUGUUUAAAAAUCACAGAAAUGAUAUUUUUAAAACCUAUAUACUGUUAUGCUCUCUGUGUCAUGUGGCAUAACAUGUAUAGUCAGCUUAUGUAGACAUAGGAGAUAAAAUACAUGCUGAGGUCUGAUCUGAGAGUGUAGUUUACUUUUACAAUCUACACACCAAAGAGGAAUGGGCAGAGUUUAUUCUUUCAUCAUUUUCAGUCUCCAUAUGCUGCCUGAAUGUGACUCCCCACCUUCCCAACUUGGACAUUUGUUGAAAGGCACAGAAAGGAUAUAUAGACGUGACAGAAUAUAGCUAUUUGAAAUUUGAAAUUUGCUCUUAUUUUAAAAUUUGUAGUCUAAUGGCAAGCAAUAGUGUAGGAAACUAUUGAUAUGGAGUAUGUUGGAGGCAGAAAUUAUAGUUUUCACACUUUUCAUCCUAAUAUUAGAGAAAGUUUUGAGAAAGGACCACCUUAAAGAAUCACAACCAUAGACUAACUGGCUGCUCUGAGAGGGGUGCGCUGAUUCACCUCUGUUAUUUAUUAAACUUAGCUGCCUUGUAAACUUGAAUGUGAGUCCUACUUCUUUGGGCAAAAUAUGAGGUAUUCUGUGGAGUGAAUGUACACAAAACCUUUGACAUUUUAUUUACCUCAUCAAUAAGACUAUAACUCUUAAAAUCUCAUUUUGGUAAUUGUAUGGGUUAAAAAAAGUUAGGGUUGAGCAUUUUUCCUGUGGCUGAGAUACCACUUCCCGUACUGGAAUGCCUCAUUUCAAUGCUUAGCUCUAAUUGCUUAAUCCAGCUUCCUGUUAAUGCCCAUCCUGAGAUGUAUUGGUGAUGACUCAAGAAUUGGUUUCCCACAACUCAUAUGGGAGACCAGGAUUGAGUUCCUGGCUCCUCGCUUCAGGCUUGCCCAGUCCUUGCUAUUUGAGAGUACUUUGGAGGUGAACCAAUGGAUAGGAGCACUCUCCAUUUCUGUCCAUCUGUUUUUCUAUGACUGUCUUUCUUAAGUAAAUUUUAAAAAGGGAAAACAAAAAGAUUCCAUAGAAGAGGAAAAAAUAAUUUAAAGAAAAACAACGAUGACAUUUUGUUCAAGGAAACUACUUGAUAAUAUUUGAGACCUGUUUUGUUAACCCUAAAUAAUACUGAUAUAUCAAAAUAUAUUCAUGACGAUUAUUUAUCUUCAGUUUUAUAAAACCUCAUCUUUAUUCAAGGAAAGUAAACCAUAGAAUUUAUUCUCAGGCUUACUUGCCAGCUAUAUUCCAUAUUGAUUCUGUUAACAAGAAUCAUUUGGCAUUUGCAUAAGAUGAAGAGUGGAAGGAAAAAGAGAAGCUAUUUGUCCCUGAUUUUUACGUGGUUCCUAGGUAGAUUAACUAAUAUUAUCACAAAACAGACAGCAUCACCUUGGAUGUGAGAAAUGGGAGUGAGUGGAACCCUUAUUCUGGAUAUCAAUAUCACAUGAACAAUGCUCAACUUCUUAUCAGAUGAGUACAUGUCUUUGCUGAAAAAUCCUUGAAAAUUCAAAUGAAUGUAGUGGAGGAAGUACACUCUGGGGUUGCUUAGAGUAGUCAGAAUUUUCUAAUAGCUCCAGGGAAUUUGACAUUCCUAUUUGAGCUGUUUUCCCCCAAAGUAUUUGUUCUUUCGAUUUCUUCAAUACUCAUCUGAAGCUUCAAGUUUCUAAUCUGAGGUUUCUCCUCAGAUACAAACAAAAUCAAAAUAAUUAAAAACCCCAGGACAAUGGUAUAUGCAAAGCAGUGCUUCAAUAAGUAGUUAAUUGUUUCUCAUUAGUACAAAGUUUAAGGUUAUACGUUAAAAGCUGAUCUUUUUGUUUUUCCUUGUGUACAAGUUACAACUGUCUGGAUUUCUCUGACAUGAUAGCUACUAAAAGAUUUAUUUUUACUGGGAAUAAAUUAUAAUUUUUCAGCUAAGUGCACUGUCCUUUUAUUAGUUAAGAAACAGUUAAUAUUCAUAUGAACAAGUUCUGUGUGUUAAUUCAGGUACAUGUCUGCUUUUCUUGACAUUCUACGUUUGAACAUAUUGCUAAUAGUGGGAACAAAUGCUGAUUAUGAAAGAUAAGACAUCUACCCUCUAAGUAUAUUAUUUAGCUGAGAAAGAUUUUGUUUUAUAUAAGGGGUACACUAUAAUAAUAACUACCUUCUUGAUGACCAAAGGGCCCUCAGGACAAUAUAUGUUUCAAUUGCUUCACUGUAUCCACAAGAAGACUAGAAGAAGGAACCAUUACAAAUUUGAUCUGUUUUUUGUUCAUGAAAAAUUUCUAUUUUCAAAAAAGAAUCAUUCUUUGUGUUUAUAAGAAAAUAUAUUCAGAAUAUGUGGUCUUUUAUUUAGCAUCUGUGGGUUUUAGGUUUUCAAGAUUUUUUUUUUUUUUGACAGGUAGAUUGGACAGUGAGAGAGAGAGAGAGACAGAGAGAAAGGUCUUCCUUUUGCCUUUGGUUGACCCUCCAAUGGCCGCCACGGCUGGCACGCUGCGGCCGGCGCACCGCACUGAUCUGAUGGCAGGAGCCAGGUGCUUCUCCUGGUCUCCCAUGGGGUGCAGGGCCCAAGGUCUUGGGCCAUCCUCUACUGCACUCCCAGGCCAUAGCAGAGAGCUGGCCUGGAAGAGGGGCAACUGGGACAGAAUCCGGUGCCCCAACCGGGACUAGAACCCGGUGUGCCGGCGCCACAAGGUGGAGGAUUAGCCUGUUGAGCCACUGCGCCGGCCUGGUUUUCAAGAAUAAUUGGUUCUGAAAAAUGGAAGGAUAAAGCUGCUCUGAUUAGGACUGUGAUGGUUUGGUUCUGGUAGUCAGGGAAAAGUUAAAAAAAAAAAUACAAAUAACAACACAGUAAAUAAGAGGGAAGAGAAAAUUCCCAUGGCAGCAAAUGGUCAACAGGUUGUACAAUAAUGAAUUCCUUGAGAUCAGGGGUUAUUCUCUCUGUAUUCAGCUCCUGACCAAAUGCUGAUAAUUUACUAGGACCUAAGUAAAUGUUUGUUGAAUUGAGUCAAUUGAAUUUGCCCUAUUAAGUCGGUAGUAUUUCCUGUUUACAUAUGAUUAUGUCCAGACUUAAAACAAAUUAACUAGCAGAGGUAGAACUGGGAGAACUUUGGAUUUGAGUAUGAUAUCCUUCUCUUCUCCCCUCUCUUUUCCCCUCCCCUCCUCACCCUUCCUCUCCUCUCUUCUUCUCUUCUCUCCAUCUCCUUGCCUCUCAAAUAAGUAAAUUUUGAAAAAUGAGCUAUAGAUUAGAUUAGAGCUGAUAAAUUACUCAUCAAAGGGCAGAUUUGAGAAGCCUUUCUGGAAAUGCAGGCAGGCCUGUUUUGAUUGGGGACUUGGUAAACGGGAAUAAGCUACUUAGGUAUGACAAGGGGGAAUCAUGAGGACAUUUCAAAAAGAAAUUCCACCAGAUUUACACAUCACUGAAAUUACUGAAACAGCAAAUUCAUUGAGUAUACAAUUACUAUAACCAACUUCAUUUCUAUUUAUGUUAUUAAAAAAUUAUUAGUUAGAAUAGCAACAACAAUGAGGUGUCAAAGUGCUACAAACUAUAUCUGAAUACUAUUGAAAGCUUAUGAACGUUAUUGAAGAAAAAGUCUACUUUAAAUAGCAACAACAGUGAUAAACACUUCUGAGUAUGUGUAACGAAGUUAUGAAAAUCCCCAUAAAAAUGAUAAAAAUUUUAUUGAAACUUGCUAAAUAUAAUUAAGUGGAAAAGUGAUAAUAUUCAAUAAAAGAUGAAAUUAAAUCCAGUGACAAACUAUGCUUAUAAAGCGUCAUAAUAUUAUGAAAUUUUCUGCAAACCUUAGAUUGAGUCUGUGUAAUCACAAUCAGAAUGCCAACAGUUUUUAACUUAAAAAUCUUUUUUUAUAGAGAUUUAUUUUAUUUAUUUGAAAAACAGAGUUAUAGAGAGAGGUAGAGACAAAGAGAAAGUGAGGUCUUCCAUCUGCUGGUUCAUUCCCCAGAUGACCGCAACGGCCAGAGCUGCGCCGAUCCGAAGCCAGGAGCCAGGAGUUUCUUCUGGGUCUCCCACGUGGGUGCAGGGGCCCAGGGACUUGGACCAUCUACUACUGCUAUCCCAGGCCAUGGCAGAGAACUGGAUUGGAAGUGGAGCAGCCUGGACUCGAACCAGCGCCCUUAUGGGAUGCUGGCGCUUCAGGCCAGGGCUUUAACCCGUUGCACCACAGCGCUGGCCCCUUAACUAAAAAUCUUAUUCUAAUAUUUAAAUAAGUUCAUAAUCAGUAAGUAGAGGCAAUUUUUCUAUUUAGUAUAAAAUUAUUAUUAAGUUAAUAACAACUGAGACAGUGUAUUCUUGGUUAAAUGGGAGGAAAAGUGAAUAAUGGGACAAAAAAAAAAACCCUGUUCAUAUUUCAGCACAUUCAGAAACGUGGUACAUGAGUGAGGUGAUAUUGUCGAGCAGUGUGAAUGUACAGAGGCUCAAAAAUAGCAAUUCAUUUUAAGGAAUGAAUUUAAUGAGCUCUCUAUACACAGAAAUGAUUAUUCUAAGUGAAAGACAAAUAUGAAAAGCAAAAUUUUAGCAUAAAAUUAACAUAGAUUAGGGAGAAAUUCCUUAAAGAAGCAAAUGCCCAUAAAGGUAGCAAUUAUAAAUUUAGUUACAUUCAAAAUAAAACUUCUGUCCAACAAUGAAAUGAUACGAAGAAUGCAUUAAAUCUUUUAUUUUAAAAAUGCUUUAUAGUAUUUUAUUAUUUAUUUAUUUAUUUGAAAGAGUUACAGAGAGAGAAGGGAAGAUAUAUAUAGAGAGAUCUUCUAUCUGCUGGUUCAGUCCCCAAAGGGCCACAAUGGCCAGGACUGGGCCAACCUGAAGCCAGGAUCCAAGAACACUAUCCAAAUCUCCCACAUAAGUGCAGAGACCCAAGUACUGAAUCAUCUUCCUCUGCUUUCCCAGGCAUCUUGGUAGGGAGGUCAGUAAGAAACGGAGCAGCAGGAACUCAAACCAGAGCCAACAUGAGAUCCAAGCAUUGCCGGCAGUGGCUUACCCUGCUGCGCCAACAUGCCAGUAUUCUAUAAAAUGCUUUAAAACUUAAUAAGAAAGUUCCAAAACUUUAAAAAAUAGAAGAGUGAAAGACAUGAUCAAUUUUUUCAUGUAAAUCACAAAUGAUUCAUAAACAAAUAAAAUUUAUUUCUCAAUAUAAAGAGUCAUCCAAAGGGGUGGCACUGAGGCGUAACAGAUAAAGCUACUGCCUGUGGCGCCAGCAUCCCAUAUGGAUACCAGUUCAAGUCCUUGGGGCUCCACUUCUGAUCCAGCUCCUUGCCUAUGUGCCUGGGAAAGCAGCGGAAGAUGGCCUGAGUGCUUGGAAACCUGCGCCCAUGUGAUGUGGGAGAUAUGGAAGAAACUCCUGUCCCUGGCUCUGGCCUGGCCCAGCCCUGGCAGUUGCAGCCAUUUGGAGAGUGAACCAGCAGAUGGAAGAUCUCUCUGUCUCUCCUUACUAUCUCUGUAACUCUGACUUUCGAAUAAAUAAAUAAAAUCUUGAAAAAGAAAGAUUAAAAAAACAAAGAAAUUCAAAUAUAAACUAAAAGGCUAUACCAGUUUAUAUUUCAUAUAUUAGCAGAAACUACAGUAUCUGAAAAUGGUAAGGGUAUAGAACAGGAUUACAUUUACAAUUUGCUUGCUGAGAAAAAAAAAAUUGGUACAGUCCUAUUGAAAAUAUAUGAGGAUGUUAUCUUCGAAUUUGUGCAUAAACCAACAGUAAUCCAGAAAUUUUGUAGCAACAUAUAUAUCAUGUGGAAACUAUUCUUCAUACUCAUGAAAAUGUUAUAAAUUGAUAGUGGUAAAAUGGUGGAAACCACCCAGUUUAUUAAUAGGAAAAUAGAUAUAACUAAUUUGACAAAUUUAUGUAAUAGAAUAGUAAACAGCAAUAAAAUUAAAUGAACUAUAGAUACACAAAUAACAGAGCAUCAGAAAUAUGAUAUUGAAUGUGAUUCACUAAUAAAAAAGCAGUCAGUAAGGAAUUUAUACACAUAUUUAUCAAGGCCCACAAAUAAGGAAAACUGAACAAACCUAGUUAGGGCUACAAACUCAGGGGGAGAAACAAUAAAGAAAAGCAAAGGGAUGAGAAAAUGCAAUACAAAAUACUGGUUACAUUUGGUGAGUAGGGAGGAAGGUAAUACUGGGGAGAGCACUGGAAAGGUAUCAGUCACAGUGGUGAUGUCUGUUUCUUAAGUUCAACAGAGACUUCAGUAUGUUGUUGUCAUAUUUAUUAUUUAUUUAUAUAUAUAUUUACUUAUUUUUUACAGGCAGGGUGGACAGUGAGAGAGAGAGAGACAGAGAGAAAGGCCUCCUUUGCUGCUGGUUCACCCUCCAAUGGCUGCAGCGGCCUGCGCACUGCGGCCAGUGCACCGCGCUGAUCCGAAGCCAGGAGCCAGGUGCUUCUCCUGGUCUCCCAUGCGGGUGCAGGGUCCAAGCACUUGGGCCAUCCUCCACUGCACUCCCGGGUCACAGCAGAGAGCUGGCCUGGAAGAGGAAAACCGGGACAGAAUCCGGCGCCCUGACCGGGACCAGAACCCGAUGUGCCGGCGCCACUAAGCAGAGGAUUAGCCUAUUGAGCUGCGGCGCCGCCAUAUUUAUCAUUUAUUGUAAAUAAUAUAUAAAACGUUGACCAUGAUGGAAUAUUUGGAAUUUGACACGAACUCUCUUAAGUAUGGGAUGAUAACAAAAUGAUGUUUCUAAAUGUUGAUUUAAAAUGAUGACAAAACAAUUAAUUGGGUAGCACAUUUCAUAUCUUUAGCCUUAAGUUGUUGGAGGUGUUGAGAACAUUUAUAUAGAUUUAACAAGCAUCAUUAUAGUGUUGAUAGGACCCCAUGAUGCACCUGAGCCUGCAGCUUCUAAGUAAGAAUGGGGUGCCUCUUCCUCCUACUUUCACUUUGCAUCUCUGGUUCCUUCUAUUUCCAACUCCUUUCAUAGGCCUGACAUGGCUAAUCUAAGUAUCCUUUCCUUGUAAUGAUUUGCUUAGUAUCUAUUUUAGUUGUGCAUUGUAUCAUUCUCAGAGUAUUUAACAUUUCUGUUUGCUUGUUUUUUAUUUGUAGGUUAUCUCUACCUUCCUAUACACAAUAAGCUCUAACAAAGGGGGAAAUGUCUGUUUCUCUUAUAAUUCUAUAAUUGAUUUAAAGCCUAGGUGUAAGAAUUUGUGGAUAAAGUGUUAAAUAAAUGAGUGCAGACUGUGAUGAACUGACUGCUAUGGUUUGGGUAAUAUCUGAGUGUUUCCAGAGGUUUAUGUGCUGAAAUGUUGGUCUUCAGGAUGGUGAUGUUUAAAGGUGGUAGAAACUUUAAGAGGAAGGGUCUAGUAGAUGAUGUAGUCCUUAAGGGCACUGCCCUUGGAAGGGAUUUCUGUACUUCUCACACACCCUGAUUAGUUCUUUCAAGAGUGAGUUGUUGUAAAGGGAGGCUGUUCCCUUCCCAUGUCUCCACCAUGUAGUGCUGUUCCAAGGAGAACCUGACUAGAAGCCCAAUUUACUGGGCUGCUUCCAAAACUGUGACAUAAAUAAACUUUUUUCUUUGUAAAUUACCAAACCUCAGAUGUUUUUUAAAAGCAACAGAAAAGGAGGAAAGGCUCCAACCAACACUGGGUCCAAAGCGCUAACUUUUCAUCUCCAUGUAUCAGUAAGAGAAAUUCCAGACUAAGUCCCUGAAGGCUGGAUUUGUCUAAGUGAAAUUAAUGUGCCCUUGUAUCAUGGAUGAUCCACUACCCAAAGGUUUCAAGGGAUACGAGGCCAACUGCAUUUGGUUUCUUAUUUGCAGAUUCUAUUCAUUUGUGGAUUGAUGUUACUUACACGUUUUAUGGAUUUCCCUAAUUUCUCUAAUCUGAACAGAGAUGAACUGUGAAGCUGUUUGUGCCUCCAUAUUUACUAAUAAUUGCUGCAUGGCUUUUACUUAAAUGUACAUGAGGCAAUGCAAAAAUGCAACAGGUAACUUAUUUUUUAGCUUGUUGCAAUAGACAAAGCCUGAUGUGAUCCUAGAAAUGGAAUGGUUUUCAUUCUAUUCAGUGAAAAUUGUACACACACACACACACACACACACACAAAAGGUUUGUUUUUUUUUUUAAUCAGCUCCAUUAGUAGACAAAACUGUAAAUGUGACAACUGUUCAAUAACAUUAAAAAAUUCAAAGCCAGGUCUAUAAACUUCAGAGCUUGAACAGCCACCUGAUACCCUAUAUAAUAAAAGCUCAAUAAAUUGAAGUCAAAUUAGAGGGAAUUUUCCUACCUGAGAAUCGAAAUGGCAAAUUAUAAGCUUAAAACGUUAAAGGAGAAUUUGAGAAAAUUGCAGAAUGAUUAUAAGGAUCAUGGCAUCUGUGCUGUGCUGUGUAUGUGUAUAUAGUGUACCUUCAUACUUGGCAGUUUUCAAUAUCCAAAGAAUUUUUACAACAAUUUCUUAAAUACAAUAAUGAAAAAUGUAAGUGGAACCCAAGAGAAAUUUUAUGUCCCAUAAGUGAAAAGGCAAAGAAAUCAAAUUACUUUGAAAUAAAAAGAUUCACAUCCUUUAGAUCAGUCCCCACAGUCCCCUAGUGGAUUAAUACUUUCCUUGCUUGCUUUCUUUUACACUGAAGCUAAU
Molecule: non-coding RNA, 9459 nt
Organism: Oryctolagus cuniculus (rabbit)
Lineage: Eukaryota; Metazoa; Chordata; Mammalia; Lagomorpha; Leporidae
Source: RefSeq, a predicted model, not a curated record